RNAcentral lists this ribosomal RNA (386 nucleotides) under Salmonella enterica subsp. enterica serovar Senftenberg. RNAcentral describes it as "bacterial SSU rRNA". It matches the Rfam family "Bacterial small subunit ribosomal RNA", at positions 869 to 1255 of the family's 1533-position model. Lineage: Bacteria; Pseudomonadati; Pseudomonadota; Gammaproteobacteria; Enterobacterales; Enterobacteriaceae. The record is from RNAcentral.
CCGCCUGGGGAGUACGGCCGCAAGGUUAAAACUCAAAUGAAUUGACGGGGGCCCGCACAAGCGGUGGAGCAUGUGGUUUAAUUCGAUGCAACGCGAAGAACCUUACCUGGUCUUGACAUCCACAGAAGAAUCCAGAGAUGGAUUUGUGCCUUCGGGAACUGUGAGACAGGUGCUGCAUGGCUGUCGUCAGCUCGUGUUGUGAAAUGUUGGGUUAAGUCCCGCAACGAGCGCAACCCUUAUCCUUUGUUGCCAGCGAUUAGGUCGGGAACUCAAAGGAGACUGCCAGUGAUAAACUGGAGGAAGGUGGGGAUGACGUCAAGUCAUCAUGGCCCUUACGACCAGGGCUACACACGUGCUACAAUGGCGCAUACAAAGAGAAGCGACCU